This 70-nucleotide transfer RNA is filed under the name Streptomyces sp. ActVer. Its description in RNAcentral is "tRNA-Arg". It matches the Rfam family "tRNA". Rfam says of the family: Transfer RNA (tRNA) molecules are approximately 80 nucleotides in length. Their secondary structure includes four short double-helical elements and three loops (D, anti-codon, and T loops). Further hydrogen bonds mediate the characteristic L-shaped molecular structure. tRNAs have two regions of fundamental functional importance: the anti-codon, which is responsible for specific mRNA codon recognition, and the 3' end, to which the tRNAs corresponding amino acid is attached (by aminoacyl-tRNA synthetases). tRNAs cope with the degeneracy of the genetic code in two manners: having more than one tRNA (with a specific anti-codon) for a particular amino acid; and 'wobble' base-pairing, i.e. permitting non-standard base-pairing at the 3rd anti-codon position. Lineage: Bacteria; Bacillati; Actinomycetota; Actinomycetes; Kitasatosporales; Streptomycetaceae. The record is from RNAcentral.
GCACCUGCCGACGAGAUACGCCAGGCGCCUUCUAAGCGCUUGGCCGCAGGUUCGAGUCCUGCCGGGGGCG